RNAcentral lists this ribosomal RNA (838 nucleotides) under Arthrobacter sp. RNAcentral's name for it is "bacterial SSU rRNA". It matches the Rfam family "Bacterial small subunit ribosomal RNA", at positions 24 to 873 of the family's 1533-position model. Lineage: Bacteria; Bacillati; Actinomycetota; Actinomycetes; Micrococcales; Micrococcaceae. The record is from RNAcentral.
CGUAGAUGACGCUGGCGGCGUGCUUAACACAUGCAAGUCGAACGAUGAUCUCCAGCUUGCUGGGGGGAUUAGUGGCGAACGGGUGAGUAACACGUGAGUAACCUGCCCUUGACUCUGGGAUAAGCCUGGGAAACUGGGUCUAAUACCGGAUACGACCGUCCCGCGCAUGCGGUGGUGGUGGAAAGCUUUUGCGGUUUUGGAUGGACUCGCGGCCUAUCAGCUUGUUGGUGGGGUAAUGGCCUACCAAGGCGACGACGGGUAGCCGGCCUGAGAGGGUGACCGGCCACACUGGGACUGAGACACGGCCCAGACUCCUACGGGAGGCAGCAGUGGGGAAUAUUGCACAAUGGGCGAAAGCCUGAUGCAGCGACGCCGCGUGAGGGAUGACGGCCUUCGGGUUGUAAACCUCUUUCAGUAGGGAAGAAGCGAAAGUGACGGUACCUGCAGAAGAAGCGCCGGCUAACUACGUGCCAGCAGCCGCGGUAAUACGUAGGGCGCAAGCGUUAUCCGGAAUUAUUGGGCGUAAAGAGCUCGUAGGCGGUUUGUCGCGUCUGCUGUGAAAGACCGGGGCUCAACUCCGGUUCUGCAGUGGGUACGGGCAGACUAGAGUGAUGUAGGGGAGACUGGAAUUCCUGGUGUAGCGGUGAAAUGCGCAGAUAUCAGGAGGAACACCGAUGGCGAAGGCAGGUCUCUGGGCAUUAACUGACGCUGAGGAGCGAAAGCAUGGGGAGCGAACAGGAUUAGAUACCCUGGUAGUCCAUGCCGUAAACGUUGGGCACUAGGUGUGGGGGACAUUCCACGUUUUCCGCGCCGUAGCUAACGCAUUAAGUGCCCCGCC